RNAcentral lists this ribosomal RNA (1294 nucleotides) under Bacillus sp. GN-10. Its description in RNAcentral is "bacterial SSU rRNA". It matches the Rfam family "Bacterial small subunit ribosomal RNA", at positions 81 to 1360 of the family's 1533-position model. Lineage: Bacteria; Bacillati; Bacillota; Bacilli; Caryophanales; Bacillaceae. The record is from RNAcentral.
GCUCCCUUAGGUCAGCGGCGGACGGGUGAGUAACACGUGGGUAACCUGCCUGUAAGACUGGGAUAACUCCGGGAAACCGGGGCUAAUACCGGAUGCUUGAUUGAACCGCAUGGUUCAAUCAUAAAAGGUGGCUUUUAGCUACCACUUACAGAUGGACCCGCGGCGCAUUAGCUAGUUGGUGAGGUAACGGCUCACCAAGGCGACGAUGCGUAGCCGACCUGAGAGGGUGAUCGGCCACACUGGGACUGAGACACGGCCCAGACUCCUACGGGAGGCAGCAGUAGGGAAUCUUCCGCAAUGGACGAAAGUCUGACGGAGCAACGCCGCGUGAGUGAUGAAGGUUUUCGGAUCGUAAAACUCUGUUGUUAGGGAAGAACAAGUACCGUUCGAAUAGGGCGGCACCUUGACGGUACCUAACCAGAAAGCCACGGCUAACUACGUGCCAGCAGCCGCGGUAAUACGUAGGUGGCAAGCGUUGUCCGGAAUUAUUGGGCGUAAAGCGCGCGCAGGCGGUUUCUUAAGUCUGAUGUGAAAGCCCCCGGCUCAACCGGGGAGGGUCAUUGGAAACUGGGGAACUUGAGUGCAGAAGAGGAGAGUGGAAUUCCACGUGUAGCGGUGAAAUGCGUAGAGAUGUGGAGGAACACCAGUGGCGAAGGCGACUCUCUGGUCUGUAACUGACGCUGAGGCGCGAAAGCGUGGGGAGCGAACAGGAUUAGAUACCCUGGUAGUCCACGCCGUAAACGAUGAGUGCUAAGUGUUAGAGGGUUUCCGCCCUUUAGUGCUGCAGCAAACGCAUUAAGCACUCCGCCUGGGGAGUACGGUCGCAAGACUGAAACUCAAAGGAAUUGACGGGGGCCCGCACAAGCGGUGGAGCAUGUGGUUUAAUUCGAAGCAACGCGAAGAACCUUACCAGGUCUUGACAUCCUCUGACAACCCUAGAGAUAGGGCUUCCCCUUCGGGGGCAGAGUGACAGGUGGUGCAUGGUUGUCGUCAGCUCGUGUCGUGAGAUGUUGGGUUAAGUCCCGCAACGAGCGCAACCCUUGAUCUUAGUUGCCAGCAUUCAGUUGGGCACUCUAAGGUGACUGCCGGUGACAAACCGGAGGAAGGUGGGGAUGACGUCAAAUCAUCAUGCCCCUUAUGACCUGGGCUACACACGUGCUACAAUGGGCAGAACAAAGGGCAGCGAAGCCGCGAGGCUAAGCCAAUCCCACAAAUCUGUUCUCAGUUCGGAUCGCAGUCUGCAACUCGACUGCGUGAAGCUGGAAUCGCUAGUAAUCGCGGAUCAGCAUGCCGC